RNAcentral lists this ribosomal RNA (460 nucleotides) under uncultured bacterium. RNAcentral's name for it is "partial 16S ribosomal RNA". It matches the Rfam family "Bacterial small subunit ribosomal RNA", at positions 338 to 795 of the family's 1533-position model. The record is from RNAcentral.
CCUACGGGUGGCAGCAGUGAGGAAUAUUGGUCAAUGGACGAGAGUCUGAACCAGCCAAGUAGCGUGAAGGAUGACUGCCCUAUGGGUUGUAAACUUCUUUUAUAUGGGAAUAAAACGUUCAACGUGUGGGAUUUUGUAUGUACCAUAUGAAUAAGGAUCGGCUAACUCCGGGCAAGCAGCCGCGGUAAUACGGAGGAUCCGAGCGUUAUCCGGAUUGAUUGGGGUUAAAGGGAGCGUAGGUGGAUUGUUAAGUCAGUUGUGAAAGUUUGCGGCUCAACCGUAAAAUUGCAGUUGAAACUGGCAGUCUUGAGUACAGUAGAGGUGGACGGAAUUCGUGGUGUAGCGGUGAAAUGCUUAGAUAUCACGAAGAACUCCGAUUGCGAAGGCAGCUCACUGGACUGCAACUGACACUGAGGCUCGAAAGUGUGGGUAUCAAACAGGAUUAGAUACCCGAGUAGUC